This 336-nucleotide unclassified non-coding RNA is filed under the name soil metagenome. RNAcentral describes it as "partial contains 5.8S ribosomal RNA, internal transcribed spacer 2, and large subunit ribosomal RNA". The stretch from base 1 to 120 matches the Rfam family "5.8S ribosomal RNA", at positions 35 to 154 of the family's 154-position model. The record is from RNAcentral.
GAUGAAGAACGCAGCGAAAUGCGAUAAGUAAUGUGAAUUGCAGAAUUCAGUGAAUCAUCGAAUCUUUGAACGCACAUUGCGCCCGCCAGUAUUCUGGCGGGCAUGCCUGUUCGAGCGUCAUUUCAACCAUCAAGCCCCAGGCUUGUGUUGGGGACCUGCGGCUCCCGCAGGCCCUGAAAACCAGUGGCGGGCUCGCUGUCACACCGGGCGUAGUAGAUUUUAUCUCGCUCAGGGCGUGCUGCGGGUUCCGGCCGUUAAAAAGCCUUUUUUACCCAAGGUUGACCUCGGAUCAGGUAGGAAGACCCGCUGAACUUAAGCAUAUCAAUAAGCGGAGGA